This 774-nucleotide ribosomal RNA is filed under the name uncultured Neocallimastigales. Its description in RNAcentral is "partial large subunit ribosomal RNA". It matches the Rfam family "Eukaryotic large subunit ribosomal RNA", at positions 24 to 644 of the family's 3401-position model. The record is from RNAcentral. Lineage: Eukaryota; Fungi; Neocallimastigomycota; Neocallimastigomycetes; Neocallimastigales.
UAUCUCUGUAGAGUCUGCAUAUCAAUAAGCGGAGGAAAAGAAACUAACAAGGAUUCCCUUAGUAACGGCGAGUGAAGCGGGAAGAGCUCAAAUUUGAAAUCUUCAAGGUUCUACCUUGACGAAUUGUAGUUUAAAGAAGUGUUUUCUGUUAGAUGAGUAGUAAAAGUUCCUUGGAAUAGGACAUCAUAGAGGGUGAGAAUCCCGUAUUUGACUAUUCAUUCUAGCUUUGUGAUACACUUUCAAAGAGUCGGAUUGUUUGGGAAUGCAGUCCAAAAUGGGUGGUAAAUUUCAUCUAAAGCUAGAUAUUGGCGAGAGACCGAUAGCGAACAAGUACCGUGAGGGAAAGAUGAAAAGAACUUUGAAAAGAGAGUUAAACAGUACGUGUAAUUGUCAAAAGGGAAGCGUUUGACACCAGUGUUGUUUUUCCGAAGAUCAAUUACGAAUGGCUUGAUUUUGUGUUGUAUUGACCUUAUCAGCUUUCUUCACUUUUUUCGAGUCUUUCUUAAUGCACUUUUCGGUUAACAAGUCAACAUCAAUUUCUUUUGUUGUAAAAGAGUAUUCGGAAGGUGGCUUUCUUUUCGGAGAAAGUGUUUAUAGCCCUAUACUUCUACAAUCGGAGAGAUUGAGGUCUGCAGCGUAGAUCCUUCGGGGUUAGAUACACUUGUGCUAAGUUGUAGCUUUUCAUAGACAACUUGUUGACUAUGUUUAGUCAUGCGGCUUACUCGCUUGUGCUAUUUUACCUACGCUUAGGAUGUUGACUGAUAUGUAGUCGUA